Molecule: unclassified non-coding RNA, 345 nt
Filed under: soil metagenome
Description: partial contains 5.8S ribosomal RNA, internal transcribed spacer 2, and large subunit ribosomal RNA
Rfam family: 5.8S ribosomal RNA (bases 1-120)
Source: RNAcentral
GAUGAAGAACGCAGCGAAAUGCGAUAAGUAAUGUGAAUUGCAGAAUUCAGUGAAUCAUCGAAUCUUUGAACGCACAUUGCGCCCGCCGGUAUUCCGGCGGGCAUGCCUGUUCGAGCGUCAUUUCAACCAUCAAGCCCUGGGCUUGUGUUGGGGACCUGCGGCUGCCGCAGGCCCUGAAAUGCAGUGGCGGGCUCGCAAGACACACCGAGCGUAGUAGCUUACAACCUCGCUUUGGGAGUGCUGCGGGUGCUGGCCGUAAAGCGACCUUUUGCGUCUUUAGCACUAGGUUGACCUCGGAUCAGGUAGGAGGACCCGCUGAACUUAAGCAUAUCAAUAAGCGGAGGA